CAGAGGGCGUGAACCGCCAAGAAGGAAGCGGAUAGAGUCGACGAAACUUGACGGCAUUCAGCCGAUGUGAGCUGCUACCUCGUCACAUUUAGAUGAUCCUUGAUUAGGGCAGAGUGACGAUGGUCGGCCGCCACUUUGGUGCUUUUGCCGUCGGUAUGCGCCGAAUGGUCGGCUGCCGUGAGGUGAAGCAAUUUGCGUGGACCACGUGCUUGCACGUGGGCACCUGCUUUUUGAGGACUCCUUAAUGGCGGCGGUGAAGUGUGUCCGCACGCGUCGGUGCACCCUACUUGUACGCGAUUGUUGCGUCGAUGAUCCGUCGCUUGCGACUGGACGUAGGACGGAGCGUUGUGUUGAGCUUGGGUGCGUCAGCGGCACGAAUUCGGUGUCAACGUUGAUCACCUACCCGACCCGUCUUGAAACACGGACCAAGGAGUCUAGCAUGUAUGCGAGUUAUUAGUCGGUAACGCAAAAAGCGAAAUGAAAGUGAAGGCGGCAUUAAGCCGCUAGAUAUGGGAUCCGCGAUGUCACGGCGUCGUGGCGCACCAUAACCCCGUCCUCACUGCUUGCAAUGGGGCGGAGGCAGAGCGUAUAUGCUGGUACCCGAAAGAUGGUGAACUAUGCCUGAGCAGGAUGAAGCCAGAGGAAACUCUGGUGGACGUCCGAAGCGGUUCUGACGUGCAAAUCGAUCGUCUGACUUGGGUAUAGGGGCGAAAGACUAAUCGAACCAUCUAGUAGCUGGGUUUCCUUCCCGAAAA
RNAcentral lists this ribosomal RNA (755 nucleotides) under Ancyracanthus electrophori. Its description in RNAcentral is "partial large subunit ribosomal RNA". It matches the Rfam family "Eukaryotic large subunit ribosomal RNA", at positions 386 to 967 of the family's 3401-position model. Lineage: Eukaryota; Metazoa; Nematoda; Chromadorea; Rhabditida; Gnathostomatidae. The record is from RNAcentral.